GGUUAACAUUUUAAACAAUGAGGAAACAUAAGGAAGGGCCAGGAAGGCGGUCACUGCAUGAGUGCUGUGCGGGAGCGCUGGUUCCUCCAGGAAAAUGGGAGCCAUUGAAGAUUGGUGGCGUUAUCAAAGCACUGUCUUAGGAAAACUGAUGUCGUAACUGUGUGCGUUCAGACUGCAGUUAGGAGAGUCUACAGGUCGGGAGUCGAGCAUCACCGGGAGCCAGUCACCACAGAACCGUCGUCGUAAACCACCUGGCACAGUGUGCGGCCGCGGCACAAGGGAUAAUUAGGCCUGGUGGGUCCUUCAAGAAAGGCUUCUUUUAUUGUUGUUGCUGUUUUGGUUUGUUUUUUGUUUUCAUGAGGAAAAUUGUCACUGAGUUAAGAUCUGUGCCAACCCUUCCUCUAUUUUAUGUGGGACACCACCGCCACAGCACGGCUGGAUGAGUGGUGCUUGGUCUGUGUCCAGAACCUGCAACCUACAGGGGUUGAACCUGCAACCCCUGGGCUGCUGAAGCAGAGCAAACUUAACCACUAUGCACUGGGCCGGCCCCAGAGGAAAGGCUUCUUGAAGACGAUCACUGUAAGGCAAGAAAAUAUUUCAAGUGGGACCAACAAGAUGUGCAAAAGUAGGCAAGUGAAGAAUCUCAUCAAGCCUAGGAGGUUUCCACUGCUGGGGCUCAGACGUGUGGGGUGUGGCUGGCAGGUAGACAGACGUGCGUCUGGGUAGGUGUGGGGGGACAUGGAAUGAAUCCCUCCGGGAAUUAAUGCAUUUUAAGAGAAGGGGACAAGCAGUAAGAGCCCAGGCAGCAACAGAGCAUAGGCCUCUCGGGGAAAGAUGAUUCCAACCCCAGCAUAGUGACUGGCACUCAGAUUGCAUCCCCAUCCAGCCCAAACACACUCAAAAAAGUGACAAGUCUAAAAGUCCAAAAAUGUGGCACAACAUUGGAACCCCAGAAGCACAGCUUUCAACAACCCUCCUCCGACAAAAGAGUAUGAUGCAAAGGGAAGAGAGACAUCCUCCAUCUUAUCCAGACACACAAGCUGUGCAAAAUGAAGGCUCUAGCAUAUUAGGGUUGUGAUAGGCCAAACGCGCCCGGAUUUUGAGAGAGACCCCCAUGAAAAUACUCUGUAAGAUGCUAUAUCAUAUUUCAAACUCUGCAUGAUCUAUAAUGGAGGAUACAUGUCAUUAUACAUUUGUCCAAACCCAUAGAAUGCACAACAUAAGGAGUGAGCCCUGGAGUGAACUAUGGACUUUGGGGAAUAAUGAUGUGUCAAGGUUUUCCUGAGCUCACCUCAGCACCAGUAACCACUUAUAUUAUUACCUCUAUGGGAAAACGCCUUCCACUCUGCAAACAGUUGACCUACAAACAAACUCUUGGGACAGACUCCUUUGCAGCCACAGGAGCUUACUGACAGAACUGCGGGAAGAGCAGGAAGGAGUCUGAUGGCAAGGGGCUAAAGAUGAUGGCUUCAAGGAGUCGGGCAGUGAAAGAAGAGUGAGCAGCAACCCAGGCUAUUAAACUGACAACUUUUAAGUGAGUGAACAUAUUUUCCAGAUAUGUUCUAAAGUGUCUAAUUUCUUAUUAAUUUCCCCGUACUCUGAUCUUUGGAACCCUCUAGUGGCCAUAUCAGGACGUGUGUUCUGGGUGAGACGAAUAAAAUGAUUUUCAUUUUCAAAUUCACUUAAAAUAUAAAGAUAUUAUAUAUAUAUCAUAAAAUAUAAAGAGC
This is a non-coding RNA of Equus caballus (horse), 1727 nucleotides long. NCBI's taxonomy places the organism in Eukaryota, Metazoa, Chordata, Mammalia, Perissodactyla, Equidae. The record is from RefSeq and is a predicted model, not a curated record.